This 448-nucleotide ribosomal RNA is filed under the name uncultured bacterium. RNAcentral describes it as "SSU rRNA". It matches the Rfam family "Bacterial small subunit ribosomal RNA", at positions 26 to 518 of the family's 1533-position model. The record is from RNAcentral.
AGAGCGAACGCUGGCGGCAGGCUUAACACAUGCAAGUCGAGCGGGCGUAGCAAUACGUCAGCGGCAGACGGGUGAGUAACGCGUGGGAACGUACCUUUUGGUUCGGAACAACCCAGGGAAACUUGGGCUAAUACCGGAUAAGCCCUUACGGGGAAAGAUUUAUCGCCGAAAGAUCGGCCCGCGUCUGAUUAGCUAGUUGGUGGGGUAAUGGCCCACCAAGGCGACGAUCAGUAGCUGGUCUGAGAGGAUGAUCAGCCACAUUGGGACUGAGACACGGCCCAAACUCCUACGGGAGGCAGCAGUGGGGAAUAUUGGACAAUGGGCGCAGGCCUGAUCCAGCCAUGCCGCGUGAGUGAUGAAGGCCCUAGGGUUGUAAAGCUCUUUUGUGCGGGAAGAUAAUGACGGUACCGCAAGAAUAAGCCCCGGCUAACUUCGUGCCAGCAGCCGC